GUUUAAUUAAGAUUUUCUUAUCCCCUGCUAUGUUAAUAGCUUGCUAGACCCUGCAAGAGCCUCCUGUAUGUGAUUAAAGUUCAAUUUAGAGAUUGAGAUACAAUUAUUUAAGGUAAAUUACAUCUGUUUGAAAGGGAAACCAGUUUUUUUUUUCAUGCAGGCUCUGUCAAUCAUAGCCAGGGGAGGUGUGGCUAGGGCUGCAUAAACAGAAACAAAGUGAUUUAACUCCUAAAUGACAGUGAAUAGAGCAGUGAAAUUGCAGGGGAAUGAUCUAUAAACUAAAACUGCUUUAUUUAGCUAAAGUAAUUUAGGUGACUAUAGUGUUCCUUUAAGAUCUCAUUGUCAACAACAACAAAUUCUCCAAGUCAGCCAUGUUUUUAAUUUGACUAUUUUGGACAAAAAUGUACAAUUCAAUAUGGAUUAAUUUUGAAUUCCCAACACUUCACACUUUAGUUCAUAACCUUGGACAUUGUUUUUUUUAUUUAUUUAUGGGAGUACAGAAUGUAUAUUUUUGGGGUGUAUACAAUGUUUUAUAGGCUAAAUUAUUGUUACGGGAAACAUUGGAAAUAAACCUGGCUAUUGUUGUAUUCCGACAUACAUCAGCAUUUGGUGAAUUCCCCUCAUAUGUUGUGAUUUACUUUUAAUGCACUGAAAUUGUACUUGCCAUGGGGGGCAUUCAUUCAGGUGAAAAGCAAUCCAAUGACACUUAAGGGGUUUAAAAUCCUUAACUCAAAAUAGUGAUAUUAAGAUACCCUGUGCCUAUUGCAUACCAACUGAGUUAUAUUGCAGAUUGGGGAAUGUGAAUAAUCUAAAAUAUGGAGGAAUUAAGCAACACAUUAAAAAUACUUUUGCAAAG
This is a non-coding RNA of Pelobates cultripes (western spadefoot toad), 856 nucleotides long. Lineage: Eukaryota; Metazoa; Chordata; Amphibia; Anura; Pelobatidae. The record is from the annotation of a GenBank genome assembly.